Molecule: long non-coding RNA, 330 nt
Filed under: Monodelphis domestica (gray short-tailed opossum)
Lineage: Eukaryota; Metazoa; Chordata; Mammalia; Didelphimorphia; Didelphidae
Description: lncRNA (ENSMODG00000044849.1)
Source: RNAcentral
AUCCCAUUAGCAUGACUGGAAUGCUCCAAAAAGAGGUCACAUGUUAAGAGUCCUAGGAACAUGACCCAGAACUAAGGGUUAUGAGUUGGGGUAGAGAGACUUUGAUUAGUUCCUGAGAUGUGAUAGACCAGCUCAAAGAGACAGAAAGGGAUGUGGAGAAAAGGACUACAAAAGAUGAGACCCAUAAAGGAGAUCAAGGGCUUUUGGUGUGAGUUUGCUGGCAUUGAUUCUUCUACUCCAUUUGGCAUUAGUGGCAUAGGAGGAAGACACCUUCAUGGGCUGAGACUGUCUGGCGACUGACUAACUUCCAAUGAAGUUCCCAUAAAAAUG